This is a long non-coding RNA of Gasterosteus aculeatus aculeatus (three-spined stickleback), 2279 nucleotides long. Lineage: Eukaryota; Metazoa; Chordata; Actinopteri; Perciformes; Gasterosteidae. The record is from Ensembl.
GGUUCAACCAAGGAAGUGGACCCACCGGCCCUUCUACACCCCCCCCCCCCUCCUACUAGGGAACGUCUCCAAACUAUCCGUCUCGGAACACCGGGCUUGAGAAUAUUGUCCUUGUAACAUCCUGCCUCGCUGAGGCAGCACGGCGGGUCGUGAACCGUUCAGAUUGGACGUGUGGAUGAGCCUCUGUCUCGCUGGGGGGUCUGUGGUCUCUUUACCUGUGUCCGUCAUGGCUCCCCCACCUUAGUUGAUGGAGAAAGUGACGUUCCACCCCAGACAGUAAAAAAAUGUAACUUUUAAUUUUGGCUUUUAUUUAAGGCGCCUCACACGGCCGGCGUCGCUGUUUUCCUCUUUGUACAUAAAUGAAUCAUAUUUUAUUUUGCUUUUAUUGUGAUUUUUUUUUUUGUUCUCCAGAAGUGAUCUUGUCGUGAAUUCCUGUUCGCAUGUGACGUAUUUCUGGUGUCCGUGUGUUUAUACCAGCUGAUGCUGAACACUGCGCUGGAAUCAUUAAAGGGACGUUUCACUUCGCUUUGACGUGUUGUGAAGUCGAUGUUCGUUUCCUGUACACACAAGCCCCGCCUCCUGCCAGGAGUCAUGGGCCCCUUCUCGAUAAACAUUGGUCAUGGAAAAGUCAUGUUAGGUCAAAUAUUUUAAAGAAAAAUUCGAUAUGUAAUGUCAGUCAUUUCUAUGGAUGUCAUGGAAAAGUGAAAUCUUGCAACAUAAAAUAUUUUGAAUAGAAAGUCAAUGUAAGGUGGAAAAUGCAUGGACGAAGUCAAAUUAGGUAAAAAAAGUCCAAAUACUUAUUGUUAAUGUCAUGGGGGAAAAAAGUCAAACUUUAGGUACUUUUAGAAAUCUGAAAUAUUUUUUAAAAGUCAAACUACGUAAGGUGAUUUAAAAAGAAAACUGUAAUAUGGAGAAGAAACGGUCAAAUAUUAAGUUGUAAAAAUGUCAUGGGACGAACAUUUUGUCAAUUGUUUUAGAAAGUUAAAAUAUGUCAUGGAAAAUAUUAGGUCAAAGAUUAUUGGGUCAAACUAAGGUAUAAAUGACAAUGUAUUAAGGGGAAUGAUGUUUUGAAAAAAUAUGUAAAAAUUUAGUAAAAUGUUUUUUAAAAAGUCCAAAUAUGUAAUAUGUGUUUUAUUGAACAUUCAAAAUACGUUCUGUCUAAAGUAAUUGAAAAAAAUAUUGGGUAAAUUGAAAAACAAAUGUAAUAAUUUCAUGUCCAAAAUAGUUUAAACAAAAGUCAUAGUGUAGUAUAUCAAAAACAAGUCAUAGUUUAGUUGGUCAAAAAAGUCAUAGUGUGUUUUAUGUGAAUUCACAGGACAGCUGGUGAGUGGGACAGACGGGAUCCGGGUUACGACAGCAACGCAGCGUCGUGGUGGGGUUAAAGGUCAGGUGGUUGGAACGUGUGAUUAAAGGAAAUGAGGUGUCGUGCAGUUCCCCUCUGGUCCUCUGGGUGGCGCUGUGGCUCCUCCCCCUGCGCUCUGUGACGACACGCGGACUGUUUCCAUCUCUGGGAAGAGCGACAGUGUUUUAAUGAGUCCUGCCUUACAUAUUCACAUUAUUCAUUCUACUGCAGGAGGAGGCUUCUUCUUCUCCGUGGAGUAAAAUACUUUAGAUAAGCAUUAUUGUGUAAUGAUCCAUGUAAACAAAUCAGAUGUUUGCUGGUAAAAUAUAAAACAGAACAAAUAAACAAUCACUUGAAGAAAAAUAGUUUGAAGGAACAAAUUCGAGGAUAAAACCUGCAGUCUUGUAUCUUCUUCAUCAUCUCCUGAACCUUCCUCAUAUCAUACAAAUGAACAAACACCAAACAAGCUCUUCUGCUGCCACACAAAACAGUUAAUAACAAUAACAAUAACCUUCCUUCACUUCUGUUCCCUGCAGACUGAGACAUAAACUCAUGUUUACAAUGUUUACUGAGGGAAUAAAUCCAGAGAGAAGUAGAGUCAUUUCCUCAUAGACGUCUAUGGGAGCAGAGGAGUCGCCCCCUGCUGGUCACUACAGAGAAGUAGAGUCAUUUCCUCAUAGACGUCUAUGGGAGCAGAGGAGUCACCCCCUGCUGGUCACUACAGAGAAGUAGAGUCAUUUCCUCAUAGACGUCUAUGGGAGCAGAGGAGUCGCCCCCUGCUGGUCACUACAGAGAAGUAGAGUCAUUUCCUCAUAGACGUCUAUGGGAGCAGAGGAGUCGCCCCCUGCUGGUCACUACAGAGAAGUAGAGUCAUUUCCUCAUAGACGUCUAUGGGAGCAGAGGAGUCGCCCCCUGCUGGUCACUGCAGAGAAGUAGA